This 462-nucleotide ribosomal RNA is filed under the name uncultured bacterium. RNAcentral describes it as "partial 16S ribosomal RNA". It matches the Rfam family "Bacterial small subunit ribosomal RNA", at positions 29 to 507 of the family's 1533-position model. The record is from RNAcentral.
AUAAACGCUGACAGAAUGCUUAACACAUGCAAGUCUUUGGCGAAGCUGUGCUCGCACAGCCUAGCCAAGGCGGACGGGUGAGUAACGCGUAAGGAACUUGCCCUGCAGUCAGGGAUAACAGACGGAAACGACUGAUAAGACCUGGUAAAGUCAGGCGGACUCAUGUCCAGCCUGAUGAAAAGAGAUGCUGCAGGAGAGCCUUGCGUCCUAUUAGCUUGUUGGUGGGGUAACGGCCCACCAAGGCGAUGAUAGGUAGCCGGCCUGAGAGGGUGGACGGCCACAAGGGGACUGAGAUACGGCCCUUACUCCUACGGGAGGCAGCAGUGGGGAAUAUUGGACAAUGGGGGCAACCCUGAUCCAGCAAUUCUGCGUGCACGAUGAAGGUUUUCGGAUUGUAAAGUGCUUUCAGCAGGGAAGAAAAAAAUGACGGUACCUGCAGAAGAAGCGACGGCUAAAUACGUG